Molecule: ribosomal RNA, 279 nt
Filed under: uncultured bacterium
Lineage: Bacteria
Description: partial 16S ribosomal RNA
Rfam family: Bacterial small subunit ribosomal RNA
Source: RNAcentral
UGCCAGCCGCCGCGGUAAUACAUAGGGGUCAAGCGUUGUUCGGAAUUACUGGGCGUAAAGCGCACGUAGGCGGACUGGAAAGUUGGGGGUGAGAUCCCAGGGCUCAACCCUGGAACUGCCUUUGAUACUGUCAGUCUUGAGUUCAAGAGAGGUGAGUGGAAUUCCAAGUGUAGAGGAGAAAUUCGUAGAUAUUUGGAGGAACACCAGUGGCGAAGGCGGCUCACUGGCUCGAUACUGACGCUGAGGUACGAAAGUGUGGGGAGCAAACAGGAUUAGAUA